This is a long non-coding RNA of Lycium ferocissimum, 1701 nucleotides long. RefSeq lists it as uncharacterized. The transcript has 6 exons. NCBI's taxonomy places the organism in Eukaryota, Viridiplantae, Streptophyta, Magnoliopsida, Solanales, Solanaceae. The record is from RefSeq and is a predicted model, not a curated record.
UUUCAUCUAACUGCCCCAUUUAUCAUUUAUCAUCUGUAUAUCCCGAUUCUCCAAUUUUUGUUCAUGUAUGAACUUCCAGCGGUUCACAAGAGACUUAAUCGACAGAAACUGCCCCAUUUACCAUCUGUAUCCGGAUUCUCAAAUUUCCUUUCAUGUUUGAACUUUUAUAUUGUUGCAGCGAUUUACAGGAGACUUAUUCGAUAGAAAUAGCCUUCAAUCUCAAACUAAAAAGAGAAAAUGAGAUCACUAGACAGCCAAAUGUGGCAUUUGGUGUAUCUAAUAGAGAAUGUCAUUCUUAAUCUUUCACAUGGCCAAGAGCAAAUGCCAUGGUUGAUAGACUACACAGGAUGGUCUUUAACCAAUAAUGUUCCCCUCAAAUAUUAUUGACAUCAAAUCUCUCAAUGUCUUAACAUUCGAGAAAAACGCAUAGCAAAGUAAGGAACUACUUCAAGCUCAUGCACGUAAAUGAAGUAAAAUACAAAGUCGAUACUGUAAGCUAGAAAGAAGUGAAAGGAUGUAAUUGAUUUAUGUAAUUCAUUAUUGUUUUUUGAACAAGCUUGCAAAACGGAAUUGCAUUAUUUACAUCUACGCGAGUUGUUUUGGAGAUUUGCACAUAUAGUCGUUUCUCAUAGCUACGUACUUGAUUUUCUUUCUGUUUUAUUUUUGGUGUUUCAUUAUUCAAAUAUAUUUUUCAGAAUCUGUUUACACUUCUACGGGCAAUUUACGAAUCACUUUAUUUAUUUUUUUACUUGAAGCACACACAUUGAUAUCUUGAUUGAUACUUUUGGUGGAAGGAGUAUAGAUUUUUCCUUUUACCUUAUUUCCGUCAAAUUCACCAAAUCAAGGUAUGCUUAUUUAUUCGGUCUUUUAUUUAUUUAUAUGAUUCAAACCUAUAUAAACGGUAAUAUUUAUUUGAUUCUAGAUAUUUUUAAAAAUUUGAGCCAUAAAAGUUGCUACAGUAUCUUCAGGAGCAUUACUUCUUCUCUUCCAGGUGUAUUCUCCACUUUUCAGGUGUUGAAUUUGAUGCUCAAAAUGGUUUCAAAGUUCUUUUGAAAUAUCAAUAUAAUUGGUAUCUUGAUGAAGCACAAGGCAGAAGAAGGUAAAUCAUGGAGAAAAAGGAACACCAGUGGUUGAAGUAAGGAGAAAAAGGAACAACAGCAUAAACUGAGAAUGAUUUCAAGCAUUCAAAAUUCAAAUAUCUCAUUGAGAAUGUUGAUCUGAUAAAUUGCUGAGUGAAAACCAUCGAAAAAGAAGAAAGAAUUCCACCUUUGUUAAUAUAUUAGAGGUUUACAUUGCAUAUGAUGCAAGUCGCUUUUCUGGGAGCUAAUGGCUAUGGCUAUAGCUUCAAGAAUGCUUACAAUUAAAUAUGUUAAAGAAGUCAAAGAUGAAAAGAAGAAAUGAGCAUAAUCAAAGGUCAUACAUCAUGAAAAAGAUGCGUACUUUGACCAAGGAUUGCAGUAAGGUGGAUUUUUUCCCCCUCUGAAACGAUAAAUUCACCCAUUAUAUCCAGCUAAUAGCUUAAUGUUAGAAAUUACGAGAAGUACCACCAUUAGAUUAGAAAAAAGUUCACGGCUUCUAAAACAACAAAUAGUAGUGGAUUGCAACAUCUACUCCCAUGAUGCUAAUUUUGGUACCCACGGAAUGCACGGCAUUAUCAAAAUAUAUAUUAAUUAAGUCAACUUAUGUUUUCGCUUUUUACAA